UGGUGCUCGAGAAGCUGAAGAGCCAGCAGC
RNAcentral lists this non-coding RNA (30 nucleotides) under Homo sapiens (human). The record is from RNAcentral. Lineage: Eukaryota; Metazoa; Chordata; Mammalia; Primates; Hominidae.